UCACGCGCACCCUUACCUUGCCUUACCUGCGAGCCCCUUCACGAGAGAUGGACACAAAGCGAUGACGACAUUGACACCUUUCUUAGAUCUACAACGCUAGCUUUCUUCUCCUUUGUUCCAACUCAGAAAUAACAACAAUGUCUAACAUAAAACUCUACACCAAAUAAUUUCCCAUAUAAUUUUUAUUUUUAAAAUCCUAAAUAAUGGAGUCUGAGAUGCAAGACCUGACUUCGAAGCCAGCAAACUCGACGGCCCCCGCCGAUGGCUCAACCAAAGAAGAUCGACCUCUUCUUAAGCCCCAGUCUACUGAGAACCUCGAAGAAUUGGAGAAUAAAUUCGCAGCUUUCGUGCGCAAUGACGUGUACGGUACCAUGGGACGUGGCGAACUGCCUUUGACUGAGAAGGUUCUGCUUGGUUUUGCUUUGGUAACGUUAGUUCCGAUAAGAGUGAUAUUGGCGAUGGGCGUAUUGAUAUUGUAUUACUUGAUUUGUCGCAUUUUUACGCUUUUCUUGGUGCCUAAUCGGGACGAGGAGCAAGAGGAUUACGCGCAUGUGGGCGGGUGGAGAAGGAACGUUAUAGUAUUGAGUGGUAGAUUCUUGUCCAGAGUCCUCCUUUUUGUGCUGGGAUUUUAUUGGAUUAAAGAAACUUAUAGGAUUGCUGAUGCUCAAGAGAAGCCGUCUUCUACGCAGAAUGAGGUCAAUAAUCAAGUUGAAGACCCUGAAAGACCUGGUGCUAUUAUAUCUAAUCAUGUAUCAUAUUUGGAUAUUUUGUAUCACAUGUCUUCUUCUUUUCCAAGCUUUGUUGCCAAGAGAUCAGUCGCUAAACUUCCUCUAAUUGGUCUCAUCAGCAAGUGCCUUGGUUGUGUCUAUGUUCAGCGGGAGUCUAAGUCAUCUGAUUUCAAGGGUGUUUCAGGUGUUGUGACUGAAAGAGUUCAAGAAGCUCACAAGGAUAAAUCUGCUCCAAUGAUGAUGCUUUUUCCGGAAGGUACAACUACAAAUGGUGACUUUCUACUUCCUUUCAAGACUGGAGCAUUUUUAGCAAGAGUUCCUGUUCUUCCUGUGAUUCUUAGGUAUCCUUACCAGAGAUUCAGUCUGGCCUGGGAUUCGAUAUCUGGGGUGCGCCAUGUCCUUUUUCUUCUCUGCCAAUUUGUAAACCAUAUAGAGGUGACCAGGUUACCUGUCUACUACCCCUCACAUCAAGAGAAGGAUGAUUCAAAAUUCUAUGCUGAAAACGUUCGAAGGUUGAUGGCUAGUGAGGGUAAUUUGAUAAUGUCGAAUAUCAGACUUGCCGAGAAGCGAAUAUAUCAUGCUGCUCUUAAUGGUAAUGAUAGCCUGCCUAGUGUUUUGCAUCAGAAAGACGAUUGAUAAUUUCUUGGCCUCAGCUCCCACAUGUUAUCUAGUCUCAGUUGAGUUUCUAUAGGGGCAUUUACCCAUGAGUGGACAGCUAAAAAAGGCAGUGAUUGUCUCUCUCCUUUUUACUCAAAGAGAAACUGGUUUAUUUUGCCCAUGCUAAUUUGGAUUCGCUGUCUGUAAAUUCAUUGUAUGAUUAUUAUUUAUGAAAAGAUUAAAAGUGACAUAGGCGGCCUGUGAUGUUUACACACUUAUCAGUUGGUAGUUUAUGAGGCAGUUUUAGCUAUUGUGAUUGGUGCUUCUUAGCCUUGGACGUUGAGGUUAAUGCUUAGAAACAGAGGCUGCCUUUUGUUCUCAUUGUGGGGUCUUAUCCUUUGGGAGCAAGUGAUUGUAAUUACUUAUGGAGGGUUCGGCAAUUACAAUUUUGCAUGAAUUUAUGAAUUAUGACCUCUACAGCUACAAAGAAAUAUUAGGUUUCAAAUGCUCCA
RNA transcript from Mangifera indica (mango), 1837 nucleotides. It is a transcript of the gene named lysophospholipid acyltransferase LPEAT1-like, with no coding region annotated. The transcript has 9 exons. Lineage: Eukaryota; Viridiplantae; Streptophyta; Magnoliopsida; Sapindales; Anacardiaceae. The record is from RefSeq and is a predicted model, not a curated record.